CCUCACUGUUCUCAUAAUCUUUGAAACUCCACGAGGCGAGAUCUUGCAUGGAGCACCACACCGAGGGAGACUGACAGUUAUUUUGUGUUUCUUCCAUUUGCAAAUAAUCGCACCAACUGUUGUCACCCUUUCACCAAGCUGCUUGGCGAUGUUCUUGUAGCCUAUUCCAGCCUGAUGUAGGUCUACAAUCUUGUCCUGACAUCCUUGGACAGCUCUUUGGUCCUGGCCAUGGUGGAGAGUUUGGAAUGGUGUCUUUUAUACAGGUAAUAAACUGAGAUUAGGAGAACUCCCUUUAAGAGAGUGCUCCUAAUCUCAACUUGUUACCUG
Molecule: non-coding RNA, 327 nt
Organism: Pelobates cultripes (western spadefoot toad)
Lineage: Eukaryota; Metazoa; Chordata; Amphibia; Anura; Pelobatidae
Source: the annotation of a GenBank genome assembly